Molecule: ribosomal RNA, 771 nt
Filed under: Triticum aestivum (bread wheat)
Lineage: Eukaryota; Viridiplantae; Streptophyta; Magnoliopsida; Poales; Poaceae
Description: partial small subunit ribosomal RNA
Source: RNAcentral
GCUCUUCACGCCAUAGGCGAGCUUCAUAAUGAUUAUAUACGGCCACCAUCAUUGGAGACCCCCAAAAAAAUUGCAGGAAAUCAUCGGUUUGACCCAUAUUUUAAGGAUUGUAUUGGAGCUACCGAUGGUACACAUGUGCGAGCAGGUGUUACCAAAGAUGUGGAGCAUUCUUUUCGUGGUAGGAAGGCCUUUACAACCCAAAAUGUGAUGGCAGUGGUAGAUUUUGAUCUCCGCUUCACGUAUGUGUUGGCUAGUUGGGGAGGGUCAGCAAAUGAUGCAACCAUUUUAGCUGAUGUGUUAAUGCGUGAGAGAGGCUUACAAGUACCACCAAGAAAGUUCUACCUAGUUGAUGCCGGUUAUGGAGCCAAGCCCGGGUUCUUACCACCUUUUCGUGGUGUGAGGUACCAUUUGAAUGAGUGGGGCAACAAUCCAGUCCAAAAUGAUAAGGAGCUAUUAAACCUUAGGCACUCUUCACUAUGGGUGACGGUAGAGAGGGCUUUUGGAUCUCUCAAGAGGCAUUUCAAAAUUUUAGAUGAUGCCAAACCAUUCUUUACUUUCCCGACACAAGUUGACAUUGUUAUAGCUUGUUGUGUCCUUCACAAUUAUGCACUAUCACAAGGGAUUAAUGAAUUUAUUAUACCAGAAAUGACAUGGACCACUCAACCAAUUCGAACAUCAAGGCAACAAGCAAGUGACACUGGGGUCGUGGUACACCGUAGGCUACAAAUGGCAGCCCAAAUGUGGGAAGAUAGACAACUCAUGUAUGCUAAU